This is a long non-coding RNA of Loxodonta africana (African savanna elephant), 7592 nucleotides long. RefSeq lists it as uncharacterized. The transcript is spliced from 3 exons. The record is from RefSeq and is a predicted model, not a curated record. Lineage: Eukaryota; Metazoa; Chordata; Mammalia; Proboscidea; Elephantidae.
UUCCCCAUGCUGUUUUUGCUCCCCCCACCCUUAAAUACUUCUCAAGAUUCCCUGCUUAUUUAGCAUGAUGUUGGGGUUUUGAGGGAUCAAUAAGUAAUAUCCUGUUUCCCCAUCCUAACUCUGGAAUCAACCCAGAGACAGAUGUAAGAUAUCAAUAGAAGAAAAUUGCUGUAGUUGUUGUUAGGUGCCCUUGCGUCGGCCAUAGCGACCCUAGGUACAACAGAACGAAACACUGCCUUGUCCUGCACCAUCCUCACAAUCGUUGUUAUGCUUGAGCCCAUUGUUGCAGCCACUGUGUCAGUCCAGCUUGUUGAUGGCCUUCCUCUUUUUUGUUGACCCUGUACUUUACUAAGCAUGAUGAAAAUUAUCAUUUAAUGUAUCACUGUGUUAAAAAGAAAGCUAAUUUCUGGAAUUAGAAUGUUCCAGACAUAAGCCUUUUUAAUUGACUUAUUAGCCUCUGAAUUCCGUAUGUUCAUUGAGUGGUAUUUCUGCUUUAACUCAAAAGCAACUUAUUCUUUGUGUAGUAAGAACCUCCACUAAUUGUUAUUUGUUCACUAAUAAAUAUACUACUUUUACCUAGGUGAAAUCACAAUUUGGAUUUCUUAAGAUUGAUGGCAAAGUAGAUGGACGCCCCCAAAUUAGACAGGGUUACCCAUUUUGCCACUGGAACUGGACAAGCAGAUUUCUUUCUCCAUCACAGAGCGAUGACCGCAAUUCAUGCCUUCAAGCCUCAAGGUGUCACUGACAGAGGAAUGGCUUAUGUUGAACUUGCCAAGUUAAUUAUCCCAAACUUUCAACAAGGUAAGUGGAAUAGGAUGAACUCAGUUUCAUGGAAACUUAAUAAGCCCUAAGACGCAACCACAAACAAAUUGAUGAUUUCGUUACAACUGAUAAAGAUGCUGGUGCUGGUUCCCGUGUUGGUGGAGGUGCUGAGAUCUUCACUAUGGCCAGAAAUAAGACUAUGAAAAAAGAAUGGACUGGGCUUGGCACAGGAGAAUCGGACUUGAACUGUUGAUAUCACAGGCCUGGCAAUCUGCUUCCAAAAGGUCACAGCCUUGAAAACCCUAUGGAGAAGUUCUACUCUGCACACAUGGGUUACUAUGAGUCAGAGUCAACUCAACGGCAACUAACAACAACAGUCCAACAGAUGAGAUUAUUUUAGGCUGAAUAAACCAGAUUUAGGGAAAUGUCAUAUACUGCAACUCCCUAAGCACACUUUAUGUGUGUCACUCACCCUGCCGCAGGGCGUUGAAUAAGAUAUGAACUGGGAGAAUUGGGGUAUUUCCCUCUCAUUGGAGUCCCAAAGGGUGAAUGGAGCCUGGACUCUGGGUGGACUGAAAUGAACAAAUAAGGCGGCCUUUGGUGGGAGAUGCUCGUGCUUUGUGAAGGCAAACUCAGAACCAAGCCAGGCGUUCAGAUAGUAGGGAGCUCCUGUGAGAAAACCCCGUGUUAUGGAGAGAGAAACGUCUGGAACCAGAGGUGAGAAGCCAUAACUAAGACAUAUUUAUUGGACUACAUAACACUUCCCUGGGGAUUCCCAGAAAUACAAAGGCUAAAAAACUGUUACUAGAUAUGGACUUAAUACAUUUCCACAGAAUGGGCUGUCAGACAGAGAGUGGGACUUUUGUGAACAGAAAUAUUAACCAAUGAGAGUUUAAAGAAAAAUUAACCAAUGGCAAACUGAGGUAUAUUUAAGUUACACAUGUGACUUGCACUCAUCUCAUAGUGACCCUACAGAACAGAGUAGAACUGCCCCAUAGAGUUUCCAAGGAGCGCCUGGUGGAUUCAAACUGCUGACCUUUUGGUUAGCAGCCAUAGCACUUAACCACUAAGCCAUCAGGAGUUUGUAAUAUUCUUUUGAGUAGGAGUCACUUUACAUUUGAAGUCUAACCUGAAACAUUUUCUUUGGUGCCCCAGCGCUAUGACACUUUCUGUACAAUGCCCAUUAACAGCCAGGAAGCAACAAAAAAUGGGCAAUUCUGUUGACAUAUGCGUGACCAACAACACUAUACAAACCGUUAUGGGACACCAUUAAGGAGCACCAUUCAUGUCCCUAUUAGCAUUAUGAGGCAGACCCUGGGAAGUACACCUUGUCUAGGUGCCCUUGUUUUAGGUAUAGAAAAACGGGGGAAAAUUAUUGAAGAAACCAUUUCAGAAAUGGAAUCUGGAGCCAUGUAUGGAGAGUAAAAGGAACAUGCACCCAGGAUCACAUUUCAAGAUUCAGUAGACAGUUUUGGAGGGUCUAUAAGAGCAGUAACAGAUGCUCACAUAGUGAAGCAAUGUUUCAAAUGUUUAGUCCUGAGGCCAAAGCUAAGCUUGAAACUAGAUGGAGUAGCUAGGCAUCAGACAAGAGAGCCUCCAAGGAGAGAGGUGGAAUCUGUACUAGGAAACAGCAAGGGCAUCUACGUGCUAUUGAAAGGAGCGGGCUCAAAGUAGGCAAGGAUGGCUUGAGAAAUGUGGCAGAGAAUGUACUACUUUCUCCGUUUGCUUUUUUUGAUGCAGUAAUGGCUCCACGGUAAGAGAAGUAGGCCACUUUCUUAAAAAUUUAUUUUGAUGCAGGCAUUUUGACUGGGGAAAUUUCACACAACGGUUUUAAUGAAGCCAUGUCAAAAUGAUUCUAUUAAAAUAUGAAAAUAUCAGCUUUUUAUUAUCAAAAGGUAUCCCUUUCACUUAUUCUACCCAUAGUUUAUGCCUUACUUACAGAAAAAAUUCACUUCUUUUAAACUUUUAAUAACUAUGUUUUACUUGUAUUUUUAAUCUUAAUAGGUUUUUAAAUUAUAGAGGCAAAAGGAGGCAAUUUUUUUAAAUGGUACAAAAUUGUAUAACGAAAUGUAUGAAGUAAGGAAGUGAAAUUCUUUGGUCCCCUCUAUUCCCACAUUCAGGAGUUAACCACCCUUAACAGUUUAUUUGAACCAUCCCAAGAAUAGUCAGAGGAAAUUUCUUGGACAGCGGUGAAAAAUAAAGUUCUAGUUAAAUUCUCAGAGGUAACCUACUAGUCAAGUCUAUAGGAAGAUGUUCUGUUCAACUGUAUAAAAAAUUAAACUUAGGAUAAAAUGUUGGCUGAUGCACUGAGGUAAUACACACUGUGCUGCAAAGUGGAGUUAGAAAAUUUUUGUUACACAAUUUUUAAAGGAAGUGUCAAAAAACAAUUUUACUAUUUUUAAAUUCCUUACCUCCACCAGAGUAUUAAAAGGUUAGGAGAAUUGAAGAUGAAUACUUCUGUAGAGAAGUAUUUGGAUGGUAUAACUCUCCUGACCCAUGGUGGGCAGGGUGGAGAAGUUUACCCCUCUUAUAGUCAGUCAAGACAGAAGGGCCUUGAAAAGACCACUGGAAAUGUUGGACACGUGCUGGGCAGAGUGAACUGGGGUCUGACCUCCACCUGAGAAAUCCAGUGGGUAAGGGACCAACUUUGAUAAAUUUGAUAAAGAAAUCCUAGAUGAUUCGGACUUAGUAAACCCAGUGGUUUUCCUCAAGUGGUAUAAAAAAUAAUUUCAUAAGGAAUAAUACCAUCAUUCAUUGUUUAUAAAUUAGAAAAGUUCAUUUCAAAAGAAAUUUUGAUAUGUGAGACCUAAUACUCUUAGUUUUGUUUGAAAAUGUAAUACUUCGUUCUACAGUAAGGAGAAAUAAAAAUGUAUACACACGAAUACACCCAUGUAAUUUUACACACAAUGCCUUUUUGUAUCACAUAACUUCUUUUCCAUGAAAUUUGCAAAUCUAGUUUAAAGAGACAAUUUGUCAAAAUCACAUUAUAGAGAUUGGAAGUAUACAUUUAAGAUUGGUGAAUUUUCCUGUAUGUAAUUUAUACCUUCAUGAAUCUGAUUAAAACUUGCAUUAUCUGAAAAAAUUGAUUAAAACUUACUGAACAGAAUAGGAUAAUAUAAGUUCAUGGAGUAUAAUUCAGAAGUGCCAUGGUAAACGGGUGGCUGUGAUAUUCAUAUAUAACAACCUUGAUAACCAAGUUACAAAAUAUAACGUUGUCUCUGCUUUUGGCUCUACAACAGUCAUUUAUGUUUGCUGUCUUUCAUGUUUACUUUCCCACUGAUUUGACAUCAAGUCCUGGCCCAUUACAUGUAGAAACUGAGUGAUUACUUUUUGAAAUAUAGGUUCUAUGCUUGCCAGAUGGAUUUGGAAGUUCUCCCAGUAAUGCUUUUAUUGUCAUAAUCCACUUCACAAUUCCAUCAUGAAUGAGGGCAUUAGGGAAUGACAUCAUUUUCAAUACCUCCCAGAUUCUUAAAUAUUCUAAAAUAUAAUAGCCCUUGAUUUUUGUUUCUCUUACAUGAUCAAUAAGCAGGGCAUAAAUUCCUAAAUCACACACAUAUAGGCACGCACAGGCAAUGUAACUUGAAAUCGUGAUUUAUGUAACCGGAGGAAUUUCUAAGCACUUACUUGGCUGUGGGUGGUCAUGGAGUGCUAAAGGCUUUAGGAAAUAGUAUGGGGGGUCUAAGAGCCAGGCCACAGGAGGAGGACACCAACAGUCGGUAGAUAAAUUCAGACGGGACAUAAAAGAGCACUUAGGAGUUUUUCCUGCUUUUUUUCCUCCUGUAUGAAAUCGACUCGACGGCACUGGGUUUUUUUUUUUAUGAAAAGUUGCUGCUGUCUUUAAAAAGAGGAAUUGUGUAGUGAGAGCACAAAGUUCCCCUUUAUUCAUUCAUUCAUACCACCACACACUCAACAAGUAAACAAGUACUUGUGAUAUAUAUAAGAUGUGUAACACAUAGUAUGUGUACUGGGGUUAUAGAUGUGAAGUAGUUAGAUAUGGCCUCUGCCCCUAAGAGCUUAAAUUCUAGUUGGAGAGAUGGUCGAUCAUUAACCAAUUACAGGGAGAAUUUUUCAGCAUUAUGAAAAAAAAAAGUAUAUGUUUCUAUAAAAGCUUACAGCAAAAGGUCAUAUGCUGAGCUAGAAGGUUCUGAAAAUCCCCCUUGGGCUUAACUUUGCGGGAUAAUUAUGAAUCAACUACAUGAGGAAGGGAGUCCUGGUGGUGCAGUGGUUAAGCAAUCGGCUGUUCACCAAAAGGUCGGCAGUUCUAAUUCACCAGCUGCUCCUUGGAAACCCUGGGGGCAGUUCUCCUCUGUCCUAUAGGGUUGCUAUGAGUUGGAAUCGACUCAACGGCAACAGGUUUAUAUGAGGAAGUGUGGUGUGUGGAGGAAAAUGUUCUAGGAAGAAGACCAUCCCGUGCAAAGUUCUGAAGACAGAAAAGAACACUACUGUACUCGCAACUUGACAGGACAGGAUUCUGAAGCUGGUAAGGAAAAGGCAGCUCUCUCUUUCACUAAAAAUAUUCACUUCUACCAGAAAAAUACAUUUGGAUAAAAGUUUCUCCUUCUUUAAAAUCAAAUAUCUUCUGAAAGGAUGACAUCAAUCACAUCUUAACAUGAUUUAUACAACAUAAAAAUAUAAUUUGGUUCUUAAGCAAUGGUUUUGGAGAGGAAGGUGACGGCCACAUGUGGAACAACCCUGCUUAUAUACUCAAAGCUAGCAGAUUGGAACUAUGAUGGAUACCACUUACAAAUUCUAGCCCAGUGCUAUGGUAAUGCUAGAUAAUUGAACAGCGUUCGACAAAUAGUUACAGGGUGCUUGUUACGUCCCAGCCACUAGCUGGCUUUAGAAGUCUUGGCCUGUCUUUUUGCAGUGCCCAUAUGGGUAAUGACAGCAAUAGUCGGAGAGACACAAAUGAAUAGGACUGACGAAGAUUUGACCUCUGAACUUUCUAUUUCCUGCUGGGUGGCCCUCACUUUCCAGGUGUUUACCAGAGAUUGUUGCAAAUAGGGGUAAUUACAGACACAGCUGCUCUGAGCUGUCCUCAAUGAGAUUCCUAUAGUAUAUAACAGGAGGUUUUCUUAUGCAGAGAAAUAACUUGUUUAACAGGGCCUACUAAGGAUGGAAAUUAAAACAAUACCCAAUAUUGUUUUUAAAGCCAUAGGCUGUUUUUAGAGCUCCAUAAACCUUUUGCAUUUUUGGGUGGUAGCACGAGCGUACAGACUUAUUUUUACUGUUUUGAUUGGGGGUGUUUGCAUCAUAGAACAUCUGAAGAAAUUGCUGAAUUAUACAUUUGGUAGGUUGUAUUACUGUUCACAAUUAUGCAUGGUACUCCUUCCUUACAAGUGGUUUAUACAUCCCAGUCCGUUGCCAUGAAGAUUGCCUGCUUGCUGUUGUGGGGAGUAUACAUUUUCCCCCCUUCCUCAAUGAUCAUGGAUUUAACAAGGUAAUUUUCGCUGGCCAGGGGAAUGUGAACAGAUACGACUAUAUGACUAAAGGAAAUUCUAAGGUUUGGCUCAGCAUCUUGCUUUUUGUCUCAGCCCCAGGAACGAGUGUGUCGCACAUAAGGGCGGCAGCUUCAUCCUUUACCUCAGAGUAGGGAGACACGUGGAGCCAGACCAAGCAGAGCCACUGUGGCUGCAUCAUCCAGUAACUGCCCACAUGAAACAUGAACCGGACUUAAAUGCUUGUUUUGGUAAGCCCGUGAGAUUUUAGUGUUGUCUGUUACACAGCAAAGCUGAGAAUUUCAGAAAUUAGUACCUAAAAAUGGAGUGUUAACAUAAUAAAAAAUAUUAAAAUAUGUGACAUUGACCUUUUGGAGUUAGACAGCUGGCAGUGAGGAAAUUAUUAUCGGAGACUAGAAAACUGGUGACCCACCUUGUACAGCAACAAAACACUUGAUAAAACUGUCACUGAGGUAACGUGGAAGGCAAGCGUGUACAUAAUGUAAUUAACGCUUUCUGAGAGAAGGAUUUGAAACAAACUAUUACUAAUAUGGGUUGAUUAUUAGAAGCUAUGUUUGAUUAAAGUAAUAGAAGAAAGAGAAGAAGCUAAAAAAAAAAAAAGAAGUGGCUUGUUUAAUAUCGGGGAUGAAAACAAAAUGAGAGAGUUGAGGAAUUCCAGGACUUGAUGGUGGACAGUUCAAACAAUUUCUCAUCCCUAACUGGUUAAAAGAUAAAUGUUUUGAGUAAUAAAGGCAAACUAAGACUGCAUUUAGGGAAAAGGCCAAAUUAAUGGCAUAUCCACAAAGCCUUCAGAUUGAACUAAAAUGUCACUCAGUAAAUCCUUUCAGCGGGACAAAAUGGCUUGGAAAACAAACAACAGCAACAAAAAAAACAACUGAAGGAGUGACCUCAUGAAGCCUGAUGACCUUAAGCACUGGUACUUAGAAAGGCAGAUCUGUAAAAGCACGAUGCGUGUGUCUGUCACUAUACAGAGCAGAAUAUAAUCAUAUAUGUAUUUAUACUUAUUUAUGGAAACCUUGGUGGCGUAGUGGUUAAGAGCUAUGGCUGCUUACCCAAAGGUUGGCAGUUAGAAACCACCAGGUGCUCCUUGGAAACUCUAUGGGGGCAGUUCUACUCUGUCCUCUGGGGUUGCUAUGAGUCAGAAUCGACUCAAUGGCAACAGGUUUUUUUUUUUUAAUAUUUAUUUAUAUAAAGUUUUUCAGGGUUGUUAUGCCAAAAGUGUUUCCAGCCUAAAAUACAAAAGUAUGUAUGACUUUUUAUGGCUUAAAAUGAACUGUGGGCCUCCAACUUUCUUUGGUCAAGAAGCAGGUCAAAAAGUUGCUCAGCCCCAAGAAGGAUAUGUUUUCCAAUUUCCUUUAUCAGAUGUGGUCA